RNAcentral lists this long non-coding RNA (925 nucleotides) under Gossypium barbadense (sea-island cotton). RNAcentral's name for it is "long non-coding RNA (GBAR_LNC023253)". The record is from RNAcentral. Lineage: Eukaryota; Viridiplantae; Streptophyta; Magnoliopsida; Malvales; Malvaceae.
ACAUGAUUCCAUAGCGGUAAGAAACUUGAACUAUUUAAUUAACCAUAACAAUAAUAUGAAUGUAAGCAACUUUUUAUUCAAGUGCAAAGGCAGCAUCUUGAAUUGAAACUACAGCAUAGGGAUGUCACAUCCCCUGUUCGGACCAUAAAGCAUCAUCCAACACAAAAUGCUAUAUCAAAAUUGAAACUUUUUCUUGCAUUAUAUAAUUUACACAAACAUUGGUAAUCAUGCUAUUCUGUUAUUUCUUCUUCUUUUUCUUUUAAUCAAGGGCUGAAGUAUUCAACCAGCAUGGAAAUAGAAUCCUCAGAGCAAAGCACUACAGGAGAUUUUAUUUUGGCUCGCGUAACUCUGUUAAAAAAAGCUCGAGCUAACUCAGUUGAGCUCUUCUUUUCGGACUCAUCAGCAGUCGAGGUUGAACCCGUAGAGAAAAGGGUUUGACAAGCUCAUUGCUCCAUAUAUCCACAAGCGCAGACAUAGCUAACUCAAAAGCAGACAACAAAAAGAAAGGUAAAGCAAUUGAAAGAUUUUAAAUUUUUCUGAUAUUUUGGGUUGUGUAGGGGUAUAUAUAUAUGGAAGUUAACGGGUGGGUUUUCCGGCGGCACACAUUGCUUGUGUUACUGGUUCUGUGUAUGAGCUUUGAGAUAAGAGACAAGCAGACGUUCAGGUCGGUUAAGGUUAUCUUCAUUUCUUGGGGUCUUUACAAUGACUUCAAAACCGCUGCCUACUUUUCCUUGCAUUAUAAUCCAAGCAUAUAUAUAUAUAUAAAGUGUUUAAAUGCAAGAAAAAGUUCCCAAAUCAUCACUAAGAAAAUACUAAAUAUGGCUGCCUAGCUUGUCUGGCCCUGCUUUGCUUCAAAAUUUGUAAGAACAUGUCAGCAAGUGCAAAGAUAUUAUGUUAAUUAAAUGUUCAUGUCAUAGUCGGAAUC